RNAcentral lists this unclassified non-coding RNA (227 nucleotides) under uncultured fungus. RNAcentral's name for it is "sequence contains ITS1, 5.8S rRNA gene". The stretch from base 179 to 227 matches the Rfam family "5.8S ribosomal RNA", at positions 1 to 49 of the family's 154-position model. Lineage: Eukaryota; Fungi. The record is from RNAcentral.
UCUCCGUAGGUGAACCUGCGGAGGGAUCAUUACUGAGUGAGGGCUCACGCCCGACCUCCAACCCUUUGUGAACACAUCUUGUUGCUUCGGGGGCGACCCUGCCGCUUCGGCGGUGCGGCGCCCCCGGAGGCCAUUAAACACUGCAUCAUUGCGUCGGAGUUUAACACAAAUGAAACAAAACUUUCAACAACGGAUCUCUUGGUUCUGGCAUCGAUGAAGAACGCAGC